This 231-nucleotide ribosomal RNA is filed under the name uncultured bacterium. RNAcentral's name for it is "partial 16S ribosomal RNA". It matches the Rfam family "Bacterial small subunit ribosomal RNA", at positions 99 to 334 of the family's 1533-position model. The record is from RNAcentral.
CGGACGGGUGAGUAAUGUCUGGGAAACUGCCCGAUGAGGGGGAGUAACUACUGGAAACGGUAGCUAAUACCGCAUAACGUCGCAAGACCAAAGAGGGGACCUUCGGGCCUCUUGCCAUCGGAUGUGCCCAGAUGGGAUUAGCUAGUAGGUGGGGUAACGGCUCACCUAGGCGACGAUCCCUAGCUGGUCUGAGAGGAUGACCAGCCACACUGGAACUGAGACACGGUCCAG